GACGAAGGGGGCUAGCGUUGUUCGGAAUUACUGGGCGUAAAGCGAGUGUAGGUGGUUGUCCAAGUUGGAUGUGAAAUCUCGGAGCUCAACUCCGGAACGGCAUUGGAUACUACUGAGCUUGAGGUUCGGAGGGGAGACUGGAAUUCUCGGUGUAGCAGUGAAAUGCGUAGAUAUCGAGAGGAACACCGGUGGCGAAGGCGAGUCUCUGGACGGAUCCUGACACUGAGGCACGAAAGCUAGGGGAGCAAACAGG
Molecule: ribosomal RNA, 253 nt
Filed under: uncultured bacterium
Lineage: Bacteria
Description: partial 16S ribosomal RNA
Rfam family: Bacterial small subunit ribosomal RNA
Source: RNAcentral